GGGGAUGUAAGGCUCUCGACAAAAAUUGAUCUUUUACAAACUGCCAUCUGGGGAUCGCGCUGUCUCCCCAUAGAUCCGUCCAGCGCAUUCUAAGUGCUAAUAACACUAAUGAAGGAGAGAACGCUACAGUUGCAAAACUGCGAGCACUCUUCGCUGCAGCUCCUGUAGCUGCGUAAAUCUUUCCCCCUUUGUGGGAAAGUCGCAUCCUUGCUGACGUCCGAUGGGCUUGGAACCGCGCCACCCUUAUCGGGAUAAGUCCUGCAGAAUCCUGCCUGUAGGAACGAAAAUUUUAAGGAUAAGCUUCUAGAGUUUUGUGUUCAGUUUUUAUUCUAGUCGUCGAAAAUUUUAAGCCGAACUAUGAUGGUAGACGUUUCUAGAAGGGAUUUUUGGACCCGGGUUCGAUUCCCGGCAUCUCCACCA
Molecule: transfer-messenger RNA, 420 nt
Filed under: Patescibacteria group
Lineage: Bacteria
Also listed under: 1 other name
Description: JAGQLQ01 sp020429235 Standard tmRNA
Rfam family: transfer-messenger RNA
About the family: Bacterial tmRNA, also known as 10Sa RNA or SsrA, is named for its dual tRNA and mRNA-like properties. Its role is to liberate the mRNA from a stalled ribosome.
Source: RNAcentral